Molecule: ribosomal RNA, 519 nt
Filed under: Duganella sp. N-YB-2147
Lineage: Bacteria; Pseudomonadati; Pseudomonadota; Betaproteobacteria; Burkholderiales; Oxalobacteraceae
Description: bacterial SSU rRNA
Rfam family: Bacterial small subunit ribosomal RNA
Source: RNAcentral
CCUCAUGCUCCUGGAGCGGCCGAUAUCUGAUUAGCUAGUUGGUAGGGUAAAAGCCUACCAAGGCAUCGAUCAGUAGCUGGUCUGAGAGGACGACCAGCCACACUGGAACUGAGACACGGUCCAGACUCCUACGGGAGGCAGCAGUGGGGAAUUUUGGACAAUGGGCGCAAGCCUGAUCCAGCAAUGCCGCGUGAGUGAAGAAGGCCUUCGGGUUGUAAAGCUCUUUUGUCAGGGAAGAAACGGUGUUUUCUAAUACAGAACGCUAAUGACGGUACCUGAAGAAUAAGCACCGGCUAACUACGUGCCAGCAGCCGCGGUAAUACGUAGGGUGCAAGCGUUAAUCGGAAUUACUGGGCGUAAAGCGUGCGCAGGCGGUUUUGUAAGACUGUCGUGAAAUCCCCGGGCUCAACCUGGGAAUGGCGAUGGUGACUGCAAGGCUAGAGUUUGGCAGAGGGGGGUAGAAUUCCACGUGUAGCAGUGAAAUGCGUAGAUAUGUGGAGGAACACCGAUGGCGAAGGC